UACGGGGGGGGCAAGCGUUGUUCGGAAUUACUGGGCGUAAAGGGCUCGUAGGCGGCCAACUAAGUCAGACGUGAAAUCCCCAGGCUCAACCUGGGAACUGCGUCUGAUACUGGAUGGCUUGAAUCCGGGAGAGGGAUGCGGAAUUCCAGGUGUAGCGGUGAAAUGCGUAGAUAUCUGGAGGAACACCGGUGGCGAAGGCAGCUCGCUGGGACGGUACUGACGCUGAGGCGCGAAAGCGUGGGGAGCAAACAGG
This 253-nucleotide ribosomal RNA is filed under the name uncultured bacterium. RNAcentral describes it as "partial 16S ribosomal RNA". It matches the Rfam family "Bacterial small subunit ribosomal RNA", at positions 524 to 776 of the family's 1533-position model. The record is from RNAcentral.